UACCGAUUGAAUGGUCCGGUGAAGUUUUCGGAUCGCGGCGACGCCGGCGGUUCGCCGCCGGUGACGUUGUGAGAAGUUCAUUAAACCUUAUCAUUUAGAGGAAGGAGAAGUCGUAACAAGGUUUCCGUAGGUGAACCUGCGGAAGGAUCAUUG
RNAcentral lists this ribosomal RNA (153 nucleotides) under Rhynchostegium serrulatum. RNAcentral's name for it is "partial 18S ribosomal RNA". It matches the Rfam family "Eukaryotic small subunit ribosomal RNA", at positions 1683 to 1831 of the family's 1831-position model. The record is from RNAcentral. Lineage: Eukaryota; Viridiplantae; Streptophyta; Bryopsida; Hypnales; Brachytheciaceae.